This is a long non-coding RNA of Strongylocentrotus purpuratus (purple sea urchin), 1022 nucleotides long. RefSeq lists it as uncharacterized. The record is from RefSeq and is a predicted model, not a curated record. The transcript has 3 exons. NCBI's taxonomy places the organism in Eukaryota, Metazoa, Echinodermata, Echinoidea, Camarodonta, Strongylocentrotidae.
UGAACGAGGCUGAACAAGGGUGCUGCUGCUGUAUGAGAAACAAGCCGGUGAGAGUUUCUAAUUCCAUUCAAAAUCUUCGUUUUAAACCAAAAGAACUCUCAAAAUGGUGGCCCCAUGGAGACAAGUUGGAAUGACGUACAUCCAGUACUCUGCAAUCGCCGCAAGGCUCGUUAGGAGAGCAUUGCGACCAGAGCUGAGGGAACAGGCUCUCAAGAUUGAGGACUCUGCAGCUAAGUCCACAAAGUGGGAAGCCGGUAAACCAGUCUCAAAAGAAGCCGCUCUAUGAUGUCUUUACUCUCGUGAUUCUCCCAAUCUUCUACCGUCAAGCUGAAUUCCUAUCCCAGACCCUACAUGCAGAAACCAGUCUACCCCAUCACAACGACAAUGUUAUUAUUUACGGAAUGGAUCUGAUCAUAUUGAGAGACAUGAAGAAUCAUAUGGAAAUCUACAGUCCAUCAUGAUAGAAGGAUCAGAAAAGAAAAACAGCAAAUGGAGAUAUUGUAUACAAAAUGAGCACGAGAAGUCAUGCUUUCUGCGUUUUAUUCCAGAAGAAUCCAGAUGCAGUGAAACAGUUAGCGUACUAAAUCUCGUCCGCAUGUCAAUGUCUGUGCUGUUUUUGAAACCAUUUGUAAUUUUGAUUUUACACAAACAAUUUUGUCCUUUCGAAUAUGUUAUUCACAUGUUUAUAAUGAUAGGACAAUCUUGAGUGUUUUCACUCCCUAUGAAAUUACGGAAAGAUUACUGUCUGUAUUGUAUUACAGGAAGUGUGAGUGUGGUGUCUUAAAAAUAUUCCCUAUAUUAUAAAAUCUUUGGCUUUGUACCCUCAUUCUAACAGAAUGCUAUGAUGUCAUUUUUCUGAGGAUUUACAUGAUAGGAUAAAAAUUCAGCUUGAAGAUAAAAGUAUGAACCCAUUUUUAGAAAUCUAUGAUUGUUCAAUUCAUUUUGAGCAAGAUAUAAAUGUAGGAUUUAAUUCAUGUAUUAAAGUAUUUCAGAGUUCUACAAAAUUCUACAUCUUGUGUUUU